This 211-nucleotide ribosomal RNA is filed under the name Clostridioides difficile. Its description in RNAcentral is "partial 23S ribosomal RNA". It matches the Rfam family "Bacterial large subunit ribosomal RNA", at positions 2582 to 2792 of the family's 2925-position model. The record is from RNAcentral. Lineage: Bacteria; Bacillati; Bacillota; Clostridia; Peptostreptococcales; Peptostreptococcaceae.
CGNCCAUGAAAGUGGUACGCGAGCUGGGUUCAGAACGUCGUGAGACAGUUCGGUCCCUAUCCGUCGCAGGCGUAGGAAAUUUGAGAAGACCUGUCCGUAGUACGAGAGGACCGGGAUGGACGUACCUCUGGUGUACCAGUUGUCCUGCCAAGGGCAUGGCUGGGUAGCUAUGUACGGAAUGGAUAAGCGCUGAAAGCAUCUAAGCGCGAAG